RNAcentral lists this ribosomal RNA (488 nucleotides) under Eupholus geoffroyi. RNAcentral describes it as "partial 16S ribosomal RNA". It matches the Rfam family "Bacterial large subunit ribosomal RNA", at positions 1927 to 2622 of the family's 2925-position model. Lineage: Eukaryota; Metazoa; Arthropoda; Insecta; Coleoptera; Curculionidae. The record is from RNAcentral.
AUGGCCGCGGUAUUUUGACCGUGCAAAGGUAGCAUAAUCAUUAGUUUUUUAAUUGAAAGCUGGUAUGAAAGGUUGGAUGAGAAAAUAACUGUCUCUAUUUAAAUUAUUUAGAAUUUUAUUUUUAAGUAAGAAAGCUUAAAUUUUAAUUGAAGACGAGAAGACCCUAUAGAGUUUUAUAAAUUUUAAUUUAGGGAAAUUUAAGAAUUAACAAAUUUUUAAAUUAAAAUCUAUUUAGUUGGGGCGAUUGAAAAAUUUAAUAAACUUUUUUUAUUAAUUUAAACAUUAAUUUAUGAUUAGAUGAUCCUUAUUUAAAGAUUAAAAGAAAAAAUUACCUUAGGGAUAACAGCGUAAUUUUUUUAAAGAGUUCAAAUCGAAAAAAAAGAUUGCGACCUCGAUGUUGGAUUAAAAUAAAAUUUUGGUGUAGGAGCUAAAUGAUUUGGGUCUGUUCGACCCUUAAAAUUUUACAUGAUCUGAGUUUAAACCGGUGU